AUGUUAUGGGUAAGAAAUCUUCUCUCUGAGUUAAAGGUAAUAAGGAAGGAUCCCCUAAGGUUAUGGUGUGAUAAUAAAUCAGCUAUCAGCAUUGCUAAUAAUCCAGUUCAGCAUGACAGAACGAAGCAUGUCGAGAUAGACCGCUUCUUCAUCAAGGAGAAGUUAGAUGAUGGCAUAAUCAGGAUAAGUUAUGUGAGCUCUAGAGAACAAGUGGCUGAUUGUUUAACUAAGGGUUUAAGUGUCAAGGAGUGUAAUUCUGCGUGUGACAAGAUGGGAAUGAUAGAUAUCUAUCACCCAUCUUGA
RNAcentral lists this ribosomal RNA (303 nucleotides) under Triticum aestivum (bread wheat). RNAcentral describes it as "partial small subunit ribosomal RNA". The record is from RNAcentral. Lineage: Eukaryota; Viridiplantae; Streptophyta; Magnoliopsida; Poales; Poaceae.